Molecule: ribosomal RNA, 497 nt
Filed under: uncultured bacterium
Lineage: Bacteria
Description: partial 16S ribosomal RNA
Rfam family: Bacterial small subunit ribosomal RNA
Source: RNAcentral
GAUGAACGCUGGCGGCGUGCCUAAUACAUGCAAGUCGAGCGAACAGAUGAGGAGCUUGCUCCUCUGACGUUAGCGGCGGACGGGUGAGUAACACGUGGAUAACCUACCUAUAAGACUGGGAUAACUUCGGGAAACCGGAGCUAAUACCGGAUAAUAUAUUGAACCGCAUGGUUCAAUAGUGAAAGACGGUUUUGCUGUCACUUAUAGAUGGAUCCGCGCCGCAUUAGCUAGUUGGUAAGGUAACGGCUUACCAAGGCAACGAUGCGUAGCCGACCUGAGAGGGUGUUCGGCCACACUGGACCUGGGACACGGUCCAGACUCCUACGGGAGGCAGCAGUAGGGAAUCUUCCGCAAUGGGCGAAAGCUUGACGGAGCAACGCCGCGUGAGUGAGGAAGGUCUUCGGAUCGUAAAACUCUGUUAUUAGGGAAGACCAAAUGUGUAAGUAACUAUGCACGUCGUGACGGUACCUAAUCAGAAAGCCACGGCUAACUACGUG